Molecule: ribosomal RNA, 407 nt
Filed under: uncultured bacterium
Lineage: Bacteria
Description: partial 16S ribosomal RNA
Rfam family: Bacterial small subunit ribosomal RNA
Source: RNAcentral
GACGAACGCUGGCGGCGUGCUUAACACAUGCAAGUAGAACGCAUUUGCGAACGGGUGAGUAACGCGUAGGUACCUGCCCCCUUGCGGGGGAUAACUAUUGGAAACGAUAGCUAAUACCGCAUACUGUGAGAUGUACCUGCAGUUGAUUAGCUAGUUGGUUGGGUAAAGGCCCACCAAGUCGACGAUACAUAGCCGACCUGAGAGGGUGAUCGGCCACACUGGGACUGAGACACGGCCCAGACUCCUACGGGAGGCAGCAGUAGGGAAUCUUCCGCAAUGGACGAAAGUCUGACAGAGCAACGCCGCGUGAGUGAAGACGGUUUUCGGGUCGUAAAGCUCUGUUGUUAGAGAAGCGGUACCUAACCAGAAAGGGACGGCUAACUACGUGCCAGCAGCCGCGGUAAUUC